GGCACUUUGGCGGAGUGGUUAUCGCGCGGGCCUGCUAAGCCCGUUCCUUCGGGAGCCAGGGUUCGAGUAAGUUUGAUCCAGAAGAGCUU
Molecule: non-coding RNA, 89 nt
Organism: Dendryphion nanum
Lineage: Eukaryota; Fungi; Ascomycota; Dothideomycetes; Pleosporales; Torulaceae
Source: the annotation of a GenBank genome assembly